GACGAACGCUGGCGGCGUGCUUAACACAUGCAAGUCGAACGGAAAGGCCCUGCUUUUGUGGGGUGCUCGAGUGGCGAACGGGUGAGUAACACGUGAGUAACCUGCCCUUGACUUUGGGAUAACUUCAGGAAACUGGGGCUAAUACCGGAUAGGAGCUCCUGCUGCAUGGUGGGGGUUGGAAAGUUUCGGCGGUUGGGGAUGGACUCGCGGCUUAUCAGCUUGUUGGUGGGGUAGUGGCUUACCAAGGCUUUGACGGGUAGCCGGCCUGAGAGGGUGACCGGCCACAUUGGGUCUGGGCUACGACCCAGACUCCUACCGGAGGCAGCAGUGGGGAAUAUUGCACAAUGGGCGGAAGCCUGAUGCAGCAACGCCGCGUGCGGGAUAACGGCCUUCGGUUUGUAAACCGCUUUCGCCUGUGACGAAGCGUGAGUGACGGUAAUGGGUAAAGAAGCCCCGGCUAACUACGUG
RNAcentral lists this ribosomal RNA (468 nucleotides) under uncultured bacterium. RNAcentral describes it as "partial 16S ribosomal RNA". It matches the Rfam family "Bacterial small subunit ribosomal RNA", at positions 28 to 507 of the family's 1533-position model. The record is from RNAcentral.